Molecule: ribosomal RNA, 449 nt
Filed under: uncultured bacterium
Lineage: Bacteria
Description: bacterial SSU rRNA
Rfam family: Bacterial small subunit ribosomal RNA
Source: RNAcentral
UGCCAGACUCCUACGGGAGGCAGCAGUGGGGAAUAUUGCACAAUGGGGGAAACCCUGAUGCAGCGACGCCGCGUGAAGGAUGAAGUAUUUCGGUAUGUAAACUUCUAUCAGCAGGGAAGAAAAUGACGGUACCUGACUAAGAAGCCCCGGCUAACUACGUGCCAGCAGCCGCGGUAAUACGUAGGGGGCAAGCGUUAUCCGGAUUUACUGGGUGUAAAGGGAGCGUAGACGGUAUGGCAAGUCUGAUGUGAAAACCCGGGGCUCAACCCCGGGACUGCUUUGGAAACUGCCCGGCUAGAGUGCUGGAGAGGGAAGCGGAAUUCCUAGUGUAGCGGUGAAAUGCGUAGAUAUUAGGAGGAACACCAGUGGCGAAGGCGGCUUACUGGACAGUAACUGACGUUGAGGCUCGAAAGCGUGGGGAGCAAACAGGAUUAGAUACCCUGGUAUCU